CAAGUCGAGGGGCAGCGCGAGGGUAGCAAUAUCUUUGGCGGCGACCGGCGCACGGGUGCGUAACAGGUGUGCAAUCUGUCCAUAAUCGGGGAAUAACCCGGCGAAAGCCGAACUAACGCUCCAUGUGAAUGAGAGCCGCAUGACUUUCAUUUGAAACGUAAGGAUUAUGGGUGAGCACGCUUCUGAUUAGAUAGUUGGUGAGGUAACGGCUCACCAAGUCGACGAUCAGUAGGGGUUCUGAGAGGAAGGUCCCCCACAUUGGAACUGAGACACGGUCCAAACUCCUACGGGAGGCAGCAGUGAGGAAUAUUGGUCAAUGGGCGAGAGCCUGAACCAGCCAAGUCGCGUGAAGGAUGAAGGUUCUAUGGAUUGUAAACUUCUUUUAUUCGAGGGUAAAGUGUGGUACGUGUACCAUAUUGCAAGUAUCGAAUGAAUAAGCAUCGGCUAACUCCGUGCCAGCAGCCGCGGUAAUACGGAGGAUGCGAGCGUUAUCCGGAUUUAUUGGGUUUAAAGGGUGCGUAGGCGGACGAUUAAGUCAGCGGUGAAAGCGUGUGGCUCAACCAUACCAAGCCGUUGAAACUGGUUGUCUUGAGUGUAAACGAGGUAGAUGGAAUUCGUGGUGU
Molecule: ribosomal RNA, 623 nt
Filed under: uncultured rumen bacterium
Lineage: Bacteria
Description: bacterial SSU rRNA
Rfam family: Bacterial small subunit ribosomal RNA
Source: RNAcentral